AUUGAACGCUAGCGGCAUGCCUUACACAUGCAAGUCGAACGGCGUGGCGAACGGGUGAGUAAUGUCUCGGAACGUGCCCAGUAGUGGGGGAUAACUACGCGAAAGCGAAGCUAAUACCGCAUACUAUCAGAGCGGCCGAUGUCGGAUUAGCUAGUUGGUGGGGUAAAGGCUAACCAAGGCGACGAUCCGUAGCUGGUCUGAGAGGACGACCAGCCACACUGGGACUGAGACACGGCCCAGACUCCUACGGGAGGCAGCAGUGGGGAAUCUUGGACAAUGGGCGAAACCCUGAGCCAGCCAUGCCGCGUGUGUGAAGAAGGCCUUCGGGUUGUAAAGCACUUUUGGCAGGGAAGCGGUACCUGCAGAAUAAGCACCGGCUAACUACGUGCCAGCAGCCGCGGUAAUUC
This 407-nucleotide ribosomal RNA is filed under the name uncultured bacterium. Its description in RNAcentral is "partial 16S ribosomal RNA". It matches the Rfam family "Bacterial small subunit ribosomal RNA", at positions 30 to 526 of the family's 1533-position model. The record is from RNAcentral.